UUGAUGCAACUUACAUUUUUGCUCUGUGGAAGAUUUUUUUUUUAAGGUUGACUUGCCAAGAAGGUUGACGAAUUUAUGACGGAAAUGUUGUUCCAGGGUCUAAAGAACUUUUUGUAUCAGCGAAAAUAGUGAAAUAAAAAGAAGUAAGGUAUUCGAAUUGAAUGAUGUUGGUAAGGUGGACUUAGACCUCGCAAACUAUGAAAGUUUCCUCUACAUCAAACUGCACAGUGAGAAUAUUACUACCGGAAAAUCUAUCAGCAAGUCAUCCAAAGGGAACGAGAUGGCAACUAUGUGGAAAAACAAACCGUUCGGGUCAUUUGUUACAUAUCACAAAUGCUAUGGAUCUCAACGUGUUUGGCCAACAAACCGCAGUGAAAGUAAACACCGCAGGUGUAUCCAUAGUUGAUUUGAGUGUAUCGAAUCGUACGAGACCUGAAAGCAUACAUGCAAUUUCGACACGUUCUGUGACCACUCAGUUGAAUGUAACCGAUCACGUGAUUGUAUGCCUGAAACCUACAUUUUUGUGACUCUGAUCGAUGGAAUUAUGAUGGC
This is a long non-coding RNA of Bradysia coprophila, 552 nucleotides long. RefSeq lists it as uncharacterized. The record is from RefSeq and is a predicted model, not a curated record. Lineage: Eukaryota; Metazoa; Arthropoda; Insecta; Diptera; Sciaridae.